This 617-nucleotide long non-coding RNA is filed under the name Astyanax mexicanus (Mexican tetra). RNAcentral describes it as "lncRNA (ENSAMXG00005020401.1)". The record is from RNAcentral. Lineage: Eukaryota; Metazoa; Chordata; Actinopteri; Characiformes; Acestrorhamphidae.
AAAGAGCAGGUGGAAGCUGCCCUGGAGGAAAGAAAGGAGUCAGAAAACUGGUGGAAACAUCGACCAGGUUGAUCCUCAGGCAGCGAAGGAGGUCGAGGAGACCCAAGUUUUGGACCUGCAGAUAGUUCCAGAGUCUGGCGUUCUUGCAGAAGUCCACGCAGUGACACUGGAGGUUUUAUAUACUCCAAUAGUGGAGAACACUCCUGAAGAAAUGGAGGAAGUCCUCCAAACCUCUACAUCUUUGAGGGAUGAGGUGGAGAAGAACUGUGAGCAGCUCCUCGUGAAUGAUGCAGAUGUCAUCAUUGAGGUCCUUGAGGUGCUGGAGGAUGAUGUGGUCACAGUUAGUGUCGAGCCAGUUGGUAAGUUUAAACAGACAUUAGCAACCACUAAUAGAUCCUUAUGGUAGGAUCAAAACGCAGGAGAUAACAAAUGAUAUCUAUUAAUUUUGAAACAGGUGAUCAGGUGAUCAUCAUUGUGGAUGAGGCUGGAAUUAAUAAGCAGGAGACCACAGCAGGGCUUGUGGUUGAGCUGCUGAAAGAAGUUGAGAGGGUCAAUGGUCGGCCUAUUGGUGAGUACAAAUUUAAACGCACAUCAUUAUAAGAUCCAGGAAUGAAAAC